GACGAACGCUGGCGGCGUGCUUAACACAUGCAAGUCGAACGGUGACCUCGGAGCUUGCUCCGGGUGAUCAGUGGCAAACGGGUGAGUAACACGUGACCAACCUGCCCCUUGCUCUGGGAUAACCCCGGGAAACCGGAGCUAAUACCGGAUACAAGACCGUGCGGCAUCACGCGGUCUGGAAAGUUUUUCGGCAAGGGAUGGGGUCGCGGCCUAUCAGCUUGUUGGUGGGGUAAUGGCCCACCAAGGCAACAACGGGUAGCCGGCCUGAGAGGGCGACCGGCCACACUGGGACUGAAACACGGCCCAAACUCCUACGGGAGGCAGCAGUGGGGAAUAUUGCGCAAUGGGCGAAAGCCUGACGCACCGACCCCGCGUGAGGGAUGACGGCCUUCGGGUUGUAAACCUCUUUCAGCAGGGAAAAAGCGAAAGUGACGGUACCUGCAAAAAAAGCACCGGCUAACUACGUG
Molecule: ribosomal RNA, 467 nt
Filed under: uncultured bacterium
Lineage: Bacteria
Description: bacterial SSU rRNA
Rfam family: Bacterial small subunit ribosomal RNA
Source: RNAcentral